This is a non-coding RNA of Pelobates cultripes (western spadefoot toad), 92 nucleotides long. Lineage: Eukaryota; Metazoa; Chordata; Amphibia; Anura; Pelobatidae. The record is from the annotation of a GenBank genome assembly.
UCUUUUGAAAUUCAUAAAACUUUCAGUCUAUCAGCAGAUCUCAUAUUAUAUAUAUUUCUUGAUAGACUGCAAGUUUUAUGAAUUUCAAAACA